CCUACGGGAGGCAGCAGUGGGGGAUAUUGCACAAUGGGGGGAACCCUGAUGCAGCGACGCCGCGUGGGUGAAGGAGCGUUUCGGCGCGUAAAGCCCUAUCGGCAGGGAAGAAGGAGGACGGUACCUGACUAAGAAGCCCCGGCUAACUACGUGCCAGCAGCCGCGGUAAUACGUAGGGGGCAAGCGUUAUCCGGAUUUACUGGGUGGAAAGGGGGCGCAGACGGCAGCGCAAGCCAGGAGUGAAAGCCCGGGGCCCAACCCCGGGACUGCUCUUGGAACUGCGCGGCUGGAGUGCAGGAGGGGCAGGCGGAAUUCCUGGUGUAGCGGUGAAAUGCGUAGAUAUCAGGAGGAACACCGGUGGCGAAGGCGGCCUGUUGGACUGCGACUGACGUUGAGGCCCGAAAGCGUGGGGAGCAAACAGGAUUAGAUACCCCAGUAGUC
This 441-nucleotide ribosomal RNA is filed under the name uncultured bacterium. Its description in RNAcentral is "partial 16S ribosomal RNA". It matches the Rfam family "Bacterial small subunit ribosomal RNA", at positions 338 to 795 of the family's 1533-position model. The record is from RNAcentral.